Molecule: transfer RNA, 78 nt
Filed under: Candidatus Thorarchaeota archaeon
Lineage: Archaea; Promethearchaeati; Candidatus Thorarchaeota
Description: tRNA-Val
Rfam family: tRNA
About the family: Transfer RNA (tRNA) molecules are approximately 80 nucleotides in length.
Source: RNAcentral
GGGCCGCUAGUCUAGCCCGGCUAUGAUGUCUCGCUUACAAAUCGAAGGUCGCUGGUUCAAAUCCGGCGCGGCCCACCA